AGAUGUCGAUAGUGUGAUAGACUAUGCUGACAAUCCCCGAGCUCGUAACGCGACUCCAAAAUCUAUAAAACAGACACAAGCAAAAUACACACACAAAGUAAGCUUCUUAUUCCCUUGUAAUUAAAUGGCUAAUUCAUACCUGAAACUGUUAUACGUUUUCAUGAACGGACUUUAUUUCAUAUUACCUGUUGAACCAUUCGGAAUUAAAAAAGGAUACGCUGAUGGUCGGAAACUCGUACAAUGCCAACGUCCCAGACGUGGUCUUACAUGUAAUCAUAUAUCGAUGCCACUGUCCCAGACACGGUCUUACACGAAUCAAAAACGAUGCCAAUGUCCCAGACAUGGUCUUUCACGUUCACAUAAGUUGAUGCCAACGUCUCAGACAUGGUCUUACACGAAAACACAGAUCGGAUAUCCUAUGUCAUGACAUAUGUAUCCUAACUAUUCCUAAGGUUCAUACGGGGCUUACGGACGUC
This 476-nucleotide long non-coding RNA is filed under the name Gossypium barbadense (sea-island cotton). RNAcentral's name for it is "long non-coding RNA (GBAR_LNC015054)". The record is from RNAcentral. Lineage: Eukaryota; Viridiplantae; Streptophyta; Magnoliopsida; Malvales; Malvaceae.